Ictalurus punctatus (channel catfish) is the source of this 1826-nucleotide long non-coding RNA. Lineage: Eukaryota; Metazoa; Chordata; Actinopteri; Siluriformes; Ictaluridae. The record is from Ensembl.
UAUUAUAGUACACUUAACCAACAGCCGCAUGUGCGUUGUUUUUGUUGACAUUAUACUAAUAUUGUUAUAAGUAUAAAAGUGGGAUCAUAGCGGAUUUGUGUUGAAGUGCGCGUCUGACAGUGCCGGAGACGUGAAACGAGCUAAGCUAAAUUAAGCUAAACUAAGGUACGCUACGCUAAGCUAAGCUAGAAAGUGGAUAGCGGUCCUAACAGCAUUAAGUAACCGCGGUGGAGUAGCGUGUUUAGCUGACGGGAUUUAGGCAGCUACAGGCGGGCAGUGAGAGUCACACAGCGAGCUGGUGUGCAGGAGCUGCAGUUAAACAGUGCACUCUGUUAUUCACUGAUCACUCACACAGGCACAGAAGUGCUGAAGGCGUUUAGCUCACUGAACGCUACACCUGCACGCCGGCUUUUUAUGACUAGGAUUAUAAGUGAAUGUUCCAGUGUUAGAGCACUAACGCUAGCAAAACUAGUCGGGACAAACCAGCUAGAGCUUAGCUGACGUUUUAAUCAACCGGUGUCGAAGCUCAGUAGAUAACGGCAGAGUUUGGAGUUUUUACUGCUUUGAAUGCACACGUAAAGACACGAUCCAGUGGUAGAUCACGGCUGUAGUGAAACGCGACUCUCCUGAUUGUUAGGACCGCGUCAACCCUCCUAUGCGCAGUGGAGGAAAACAUUCCUGGCUCUUGCCCAGAUAAAUUGAUAAUGCAGAUAAUUACUUGCUAUGAGCCUCCAGGAGCAGCACGGAGCGUCAUCAUCAUCAUCGUUAUCCUCCUCGUCCUCCUCAGCUAGGCGCUCAAACUGUCGAGCCAAAUCUCACUAGCCAGUCAGAGUAAGUCACUGUUAAGCCCCGCCAACAUAUGAGAUUUGUGCCAGAAUGGCGAAUGUAAACUUGAGGAUGGAAACGAAAACUUUGAACGUGUAAACGAAAGAUCUGGUAACGCAUUCAUAAACCAUGAUUAGCGAAAAUCCAUCCAUCCUCUAUACCGCUUAUCCUUUUCAGGGUCAUGGGGAAACCUGGAGCCUAUCCCAGGGAGCAUCGGGCACAAGGUGGGGUACACCCCGGACAGGGUGCCAAUUGAUUAGCGAAAAUGAAGCCUAGAAAACUGUUAACGAAGAACGCUGUUUAUUUGUAGACCAUGUUACAUUUUUGCCACCGAGUUCACCAUUUUCCGUUUCAGAGUGUUUUUCUUCUUUCUCAUUGUAUAAUUUGGUUCCUUUCUUGAAACGUUACAUUCAAUACUUUUGGCACAAAUCUAAUCCCAUACUGUCCUGUGUAGCUAUUCGGUAUUGUCCAUAUAAACUAUACUCUCAUGUGUCUCCACCAACUUUCAAAACAAACCUAUGGCAGCUUCCGAACACGAAAAGCACUCGCGCUAGCAUGACGAGAUCUCCAGCUCAGAUCCAAACGCUGCCGCUGUCAUCCAGAGUGGGAGGGAUGGCGUGCUCGCUCCCUGUCAGUCACAGCGACACUAGACUAUCGUGGACUCCUCAUCUAGAUUGAAGAGGGUAGAUAGCGUUUUCCUCCAAGUGUUUUACUCUGCCCUGUGCAGCAGCGUGAGCAGCAGUUCAGUCUUGUAGGAAGCACAUUUGCCUGAACAUCCCUGGUUGUUAGCUGUUUGUAUGUUUUAUGAGCUGAUUUUAUUCUAUAAUUCAAACUAGUGAUCCUUGGGUAGAGCUACUCUCAUCUAAAUGAAUGUAAAUCUAAAUGCUUGAUGAUGUACAGCGUAUUUUUGUAACAACGUAAUAUAAAGUUCUUUUAUUUUCUCAUUUAUUGCAGAAGACAAAGCAGGUAUUUAAAAGGUAUCUGAAACAGACGUCACACUG